This 284-nucleotide unclassified non-coding RNA is filed under the name plant metagenome. RNAcentral describes it as "partial contains small subunit ribosomal RNA, internal transcribed spacer 1, and 5.8S ribosomal RNA". The stretch from base 1 to 53 matches the Rfam family "Eukaryotic small subunit ribosomal RNA", at positions 1779 to 1831 of the family's 1831-position model. The record is from RNAcentral.
GGAAUAAAAGUCGUAACAAGGUUUCCGUAGGUGAACCUGCGGAAGGAUCAUUAUUGUAUAACCGAGGUGCGAGGGCUGUCGCUGACCCGAAAGGUCGUGCACGCCCGAGUGCCCUCACACACAUCCAUCUCACCCCUAUGUGCACCACCGCGUGGGUCCCCCUUUGGCUUGUUCGGAGGGGGGCUUACGUUUUCACACAUACUUUGUAUGCAGUGUAGAAUGUAUUUUUUGUUUUUGCGAUCACGCAAUCAAUACAACUUUCAACAACGGAUCUCUUGGCUCUC